GACAGAGGUGCCAAGCGUUAGGCGGAAUCACUGGGCUUAAAGCGUGUGUAGGCGGAUCGUUAAGUGCCUUGUGAAAUCCCACGGCUUAACCGUGGAACUGCUCGGCAUACUGGCGGCCUUGAGCAACCUAGGGGCGAGCGGAACAAAUGGUGGAGCGGUGAAAUGCGUAGAUAUCAUUUGGAACGCCAAUGGUGAAAACAGCUCGCUGGGGGUUUGCUGACGCUGAGACACGAAAGCCAGGGGAGCGAACGGG
This 253-nucleotide ribosomal RNA is filed under the name uncultured bacterium. RNAcentral's name for it is "partial 16S ribosomal RNA". It matches the Rfam family "Bacterial small subunit ribosomal RNA", at positions 524 to 776 of the family's 1533-position model. The record is from RNAcentral.